Molecule: ribosomal RNA, 471 nt
Filed under: uncultured bacterium
Lineage: Bacteria
Description: bacterial SSU rRNA
Rfam family: Bacterial small subunit ribosomal RNA
Source: RNAcentral
GGGCCCGCACAAGCGGCGGAGCAUGCGGAUUAAUUCGAUGCAACGCGAAGAACCUUACCUGGGUUUGACAUGUAGAGUAAUCCACCGGAGAUGGUGGGUCCGUAAGGGCUCUAUGCAGGUGGUGCAUGGCUGUCGUCAGCUCGUGUCGUGAGAUGUUGGGUUAAGUCCCGCAACGAGCGCAACCCUCGUCCUAUGUUGCCAGCACGCCCUUCGGGGUGGUGGGGACUCAUGGGAGACUGCCGGGGUCAACUCGGAGGAAGGUGGGGAUGACGUCAAGUCAUCAUGCCCCUUAUGUCCAGGGCUUCACGCAUGCUACAAUGGCCGGUACAAAGGGCUGCGAUGCCGUAAGGUGGAGCGAAUCCCAAAAAGCCGGUCUCAGUUCGGAUUGGGGUCUGCAACUCGACCCCAUGAAGUCGGAGUCGCUAGUAAUCGCAGAUCAGCAACGCUGCGGUGAAUACGUUCCCGGGCCUU